GUGGUUGCUUGGGCAGCACAUAAUACUAAAAUUGGAACCAUACAGAGAAGAUUAGCAUGGCCCCUGUGCAAAGAUGACACAAAAAUUAAAAAAAAACUAACAUUAUGU
RNAcentral lists this small nuclear RNA (108 nucleotides) under Propithecus coquereli (Coquerel's sifaka). The record is from RNAcentral. Lineage: Eukaryota; Metazoa; Chordata; Mammalia; Primates; Indriidae.